This 478-nucleotide ribosomal RNA is filed under the name uncultured bacterium. RNAcentral describes it as "partial 16S ribosomal RNA". It matches the Rfam family "Bacterial small subunit ribosomal RNA", at positions 28 to 523 of the family's 1533-position model. The record is from RNAcentral.
GACGAACGCUGGCGGCGUGCUUAACACAUGCAAGUCGAGCGAUGAAGCUCCUUCGGGAGUGGAUUAGCGGCGGACGGGUGAGUGACACGUGGGUAACCUGCCUCAUAGAGGGGAAUAGCCUUCCGAAAGGAAGAUUAAUACCGCAUAAGAUUGUAGUACCGCAUGGUAUAGCAAUUAAAGGAGUAAUCCGCUAUGAGACGGACCCGCGUCGCAUUAGCUAGUUGGUGAGGUAACGGCUCACCAAGGCGAUGAUGCGUAGCCGACCUGCGAGGGUGAUCGGCCACAUUGGGACUGAGACACGGCCCAGACUCCUACGGGGGGCAGCAGUGGGGAAUAUUGCACAAUGGGGGAAACCCUGAUGCAGCAACGCCGCGUGAGUGAUGACGGUCUUCGGAUUGUAAAACUCUGUCUUCAGGGACGAUAAUGACGGUACCUGAGGAGGAAGCCACGGCUAACUACGUGCCAGCAGCCGCAGUAA